Molecule: ribosomal RNA, 230 nt
Filed under: uncultured bacterium
Lineage: Bacteria
Description: partial 16S ribosomal RNA
Rfam family: Bacterial small subunit ribosomal RNA
Source: RNAcentral
AAAGCGUGCGCAGGCGGUUAUGUAAGACAGAUGUGAAAUCCCCGGGCUCAACCUUGGAACUGCAUUAGUGACUGCAUAGCUGGAGUACGGCAGAGGGGGAUGGAAUUCCGCGUGUAGCAGUGAAAUGCGUAGAUAUGCGGAGGAACACCGAUGGCGAAGGCAAUCCCCUGGGCCUGUACUGACGCUCAUGCACGAAAGCGUGGGGAGCAAACAGGAUUAGAUACCCGAGU